Molecule: long non-coding RNA, 1761 nt
Organism: Arvicola amphibius (Eurasian water vole)
Lineage: Eukaryota; Metazoa; Chordata; Mammalia; Rodentia; Cricetidae
Exons: 2
Source: RefSeq, a predicted model, not a curated record
AAACCCUCCAUAUUCAGGAGGAAGAGAGGAAUGGCUCUUGACAGCCAGUCUAUCUAUACCUUAUAAAGAUUUACUGUUGGUGUAAAUAUUCAGGAGUUCUUUAUAACAGGAAUCAGCAGGAGCAAGAAAAGAAGAGAGAAGAUACACGACCAUGAACACACAGUGCAGAGAGAGGGGACUACAGAUGGUUGAAAUACUGUGUGGUUUCUUAUGGGAUGUCUUGGCACUGCCUUCCUGGGAACUGGCAGGCAGGAUGAGGGAGAUUUUGUCAAGACUUCUUUUCUCAAGUCUUCAUGUGGGGUCUACUAAGUGUUGAGCUGUGCUAGAGGAUAUGGAAAGAAGAUUUAAAAGUCUCAACUGGUAUCUCCCAAAGGUUUACACUCUAGAGGAGACAUCCAGCUGUCUCUAAACUACAGCAUGAUGUGCCCUUUGAGCAAGGGUGUGCCCAGCUCUGUCAGGAGCACGGAGAACUCAGCUCCCAUGGGAACAGGCUUCUCAGCAGUUCCUCAGGCCACCCUGUCAUCUCCAAGGCAACAGCGACGAGAAAGUGAUGAGAAGUUAUUUACUGAUUUCCGGGACCAUGCUGGAAGAAAUAGGAAAAUACUCGAAUAUAUCUAAGUGUGACCUAUGGUGCUACUGUGGACACCGAAUUGUCCCCUCAUGAAACCUCUAGCAGGCGGCCACAUUCUGGACUUUCCUUUCUGGUUUGGCCCAAGACAAUAAUCCCUCUUCCUUAGAAAUGCUCUCUGAUCAACACACCAAGGUCUUGCUGUGCGGCUGGUGAGGCAGGUAGGCCAGGAGUCAUUGUUUCCUGUUAGCAGGUGGGCACACUGAAGCUUGGGAAGCUAAGUCUACAGAGUCUCUGUGCUAAACGCUUUUGUAGAUAUUUAUCAGGUGGUCCAUCUCGGGUGGCAGCUGCGACUUCUGGGGCUUAUAGAAAUUCUGUGUCUCAUUGAGUGGUCUGUGCAGUGUAGUCAAUGGAUAAGUCCAAAGCGACAUUGACCGUGUAUCUGGAAUGAUCCCUUGGAGAUCAUUCUUUGACUCCCUUGAUAUACAGAUGGAGAGCUAGAGGCCUGGAUUUGAGGGGCCACAUGCCUGGGAUCUCCAAGCAAACAAGUAUUUUAGCCACAUAAUAAAACCCCACCAGGUUUGAGCUGCUCUACAGAUGCACUAGAGUAACAUGAUCAUAGACACGGUUCUGAAACAAAGGUGUGGAAAUCCACUGGUCAGCUUCAAGAUGUCCUGAGGACCUACUGAGGCUCAAAUGUCUUAAAGAUAAAGUCUUCCAUGGCUGCGGUGUUGCCUUUUCCCACAGAAGCGUACAGUUUGCCAUGUGGAGCAAAGAAUCCUUGCAUUCCAAAUGACAUGGCUCCUCCUCUUCUCCUACUCGGCCUACAAGUAGGGGUCAGAAUGGGAUCACCCCCAAUCCCUAAGGAAGGUUGGUCCCCCUCUCUGACCAGGCACUAAGCAGUCCGGCAGCUAUGAACACACAGGUGUCCCAGGAGGAAGUACUAUCUCAGGGCCUCCUUGUCUGCUGACCCAGAACCCUUGUUCACCUUAGCAACAGUUCAUGUGAACCACAGACUUUGUCUUUCUGUUCUGAGUGAUGAAGCAGAGGUUGCCACCCUGUUUGCAUUCCGAUCCUUUGUGUAAUCAUGUACAUCCCUACGCUUGCCUAGGCGUCGGGUUUUGCUUACUAUGCAUAUCUUUAAUAUGUGUUUCCCAUUUUAUGUAUAUUGGAAGUAUGUAUCCAUUUUCUCA